GGAGGCCCUAAAGCAAUAAUAUGUUUUUCUUUAAAUAAAUAAUUUUCUCACAGUUUAAAGAAAUGAUUGGCUUAGAACACAUCAUUAUACUGUAGAGAAUGACCAAAAAUGCUAAGAAAGGUCUUUCUGAGAGCAAUCCACUAGUGAAGACACUGAAAGAAUUAAGGAGCUUGUUUCUCUCCUUUGAUGAGAGUGUAAUUUAGUCUUAAAUUCUCACCAAACCCCACUGCCAUGGUUACAGAACUCGGGAUAGAUACUCUGUCUCCCUCACAACCAGCCUCCCUCACCCACAUUUCCCACUACGUAGUUCAUGCUCCACCGUCUUGCUCUGACUCUAUGAAUCUCUCUUCACACCCAAGAGGUGACUCAUUUUGGUGGGAAGUGAACAAGAAGAUGCCCGUGGUUUGAAAAUGUUCACAUCAGAGUGUUAAAUGAAUGCAGGAGAUGAUACUUAAAAUACCUGUCACAACUCAGGUAGCAUCUGCUUCAAUAACACAAACAAUCCAAUAUUUUCUCGUCUCAUCAUUCACGGCUCUUUGAGAGAAAACAGAGAGCAGAAUGAGAGACUAUGGAAGCCAAAUAAACACAUUGUGGUUCCGACAAGGGGGACAGACCAGGCUAUUUUAAAACCUAAAAAAUAAAAUCACCUCACUUGCCUGUGUGUAGUGCACAUAUUUUGACAAACUUUCAAAGCCUGCGUUUUUGUGAAUUAACACAGUUGUCCAAAUAUCGGUUGAUUUCAAGUGAUAAUGAUAGCAGUGAGAGUGACGAUAGCAUAACUGCUCUGCUAUACAUGAGCUACGUGUGAAAAAAUUACACAUUUACACACACAUACAGAAUAUAUGCAAACUUUAUAACUGAUCAGACAGGACUUCUUAAUUUGUAUCAUUAGAACAACCAUAUGCUUUGUGUUAGAGACCAUUCCAUGCCUUUGAAGAAGUUAAAAUAGAUAAAAAGC
This 958-nucleotide long non-coding RNA is filed under the name Ovis aries (sheep). Its description in RNAcentral is "lncRNA (ENSOARG00000026528.1)". The record is from RNAcentral. Lineage: Eukaryota; Metazoa; Chordata; Mammalia; Artiodactyla; Bovidae.